GUAUGGAGCCAUCCCAAUGCUUGCUUGGUAGCUAUUAAGCGUGCUUGGGCGAGAGUAGUACUAGGAUGGGUGACCUCCUGGGAAGUCUUCGUGUUGCACCCC
Molecule: ribosomal RNA, 102 nt
Filed under: Gossypium arboreum
Lineage: Eukaryota; Viridiplantae; Streptophyta; Magnoliopsida; Malvales; Malvaceae
Source: RNAcentral